This 253-nucleotide ribosomal RNA is filed under the name uncultured bacterium. RNAcentral's name for it is "partial 16S ribosomal RNA". It matches the Rfam family "Bacterial small subunit ribosomal RNA", at positions 524 to 776 of the family's 1533-position model. The record is from RNAcentral.
UACGGAGGGUGCAAGCGUUAAUCGGAAUUACUGGGCGUAAAGCGCGCGCAGGUGGUUUAAUAAGUCUGAUGUAAAAGCCCACGGCUCAACCGUGGAAGGUCAUUGGAAACUGUUAAACUUGAGUGCAGGAGAGAAAAGUGGAAUUCCUAGUGUAGCGGUGAAAUGCGUAGAGAUUAGGAGGAACACCAGUGGCGAAGGCGGCUUUUUGGCCUGCAACUGACACUGAGGCGCGAAAGCGUGGGGAGCAAACAGG